This 523-nucleotide unclassified non-coding RNA is filed under the name Hevea brasiliensis (rubber tree). Lineage: Eukaryota; Viridiplantae; Streptophyta; Magnoliopsida; Malpighiales; Euphorbiaceae. The record is from RNAcentral.
AAACUGUAAUACAUGCACUCUCACCAAGCCACCACACCAAUUCAAAUCAAAAUGGCACAUGCAGAAAAAUAGCGUUUAAAAGCGUUUGCUGUCUUAGGCUAGCAAGGUCCUAGUUCUUCACUGUAGUCACAUGCUUCAGAAGCAUAUGUACCACAUCGUGAGAUAUUCUUGCUGCCUCUAUCUCGAGGUGAUGAAUCUUUGCCUCCGUUUCUUGCUCAAGCCGCUUCACAUUAGCACCAGAGUCCCCGCUACUCUCUGCAACCUUCCUCUGGAACUCAGCUUCCAUAUGGGCACGGAAUUCAGCAAUAUCCUUUUCAGCCUCUUCCUUGGCCUGUUUCAAUCUAGCCAUUUUUGCAUUCCUAGCAGCAUUGACAAUGUGCUGAGCUUCCUGUUCUGCAGCUAGCAGGAGUUGAAUUCCAUUCUGACCCCUGUUGGAAUCCAUUCUUCCAGGAAUUUCUAAAGAAGCGGAUUUGUGUUGGGUUAAAAGAUCUGCGAGAAGCUGUUGAUGAAUGAUGACUUGAUG